GAUGAACGCUGGCGGCGUGCCUAAUACAUGCAAGUCGAGCGAAUGGAUUAAGAGCUUGCCCUUAUGAAGUUAGCGGCGGACGGGUGAGUAACACGUGGGUAACCUGCCCAUAAGACUGGGAUAACUCCGGGAAACCGGGGCGAAUACCGGAUAACAUUUUGAACCGCAUGGUUCGAAAUUGAAAGGCGGCUUCGGCUGUCACUUAUGGAUGGACCCGCGGCGCAUUAGCUAGUUGGUGAGGUAACGGCUCACCAAGGCAACGAUGCGUAGCCGACCUGAGAGGGUGAUCGGCCACACUGGGACUGAGACACGGCCCAGACUCCUACGGGAGGCAGCAGUAGGGAAUCUUCCGCAAUGGACGAAAGUCUGACGGAGCAACGCCGCGUGAGUGAUGAAGGCUUUCGGGUCGUAAAACUCUGUUGUUAGGGAAGAACAAGUGCUAGUUGAAUAAGCUGACACCUUGACGGUACCUAACCAGAAAGCCACGGCUAACUACGUGCCAGCAGCCGCGGUAA
Molecule: ribosomal RNA, 515 nt
Filed under: uncultured bacterium
Lineage: Bacteria
Description: partial 16S ribosomal RNA
Rfam family: Bacterial small subunit ribosomal RNA
Source: RNAcentral